CAGUGUUGGGGCUCAGGAGGCAGACUCUUCGGGCAUCACCACCAUGGCCUGGGCUCUGCUUGUCCUUACCCUCCUCACUCAGGGCACAGGUGA
Molecule: microRNA precursor, 93 nt
Filed under: Marmota monax (woodchuck)
Lineage: Eukaryota; Metazoa; Chordata; Mammalia; Rodentia; Sciuridae
Rfam family: mir-650 microRNA precursor family
Source: RNAcentral